This 414-nucleotide long non-coding RNA is filed under the name Rattus norvegicus (Norway rat). RNAcentral describes it as "long non-coding RNA NONRATT011919". Lineage: Eukaryota; Metazoa; Chordata; Mammalia; Rodentia; Muridae. The record is from RNAcentral.
CUUAGCCAAUCGCACUGGUGUGAGGUGAAAUCUCAGGGUUGUUUUGAUUUGCAUUUCCCUUAUGACUAAAGAUGUUGAACAUUUCUUUAGGUGUUUCUCAGCCAUUCGGCAUUCCUCAGCUGUGAAUUCUUUGUUUAGCUCUGAACCCCAUUUUUUAAUAGGGUUAUUUGUCUCCCUGCAGUCUAACUUCUUGAGUUCUUUGUAUAUUUUGGAUUUAAGGCCUCUAUCUGUUGUAGGAUUGGUAAAGAUCUUUUCCCAAUCUGUUGGUUGCCAUUUUGUCCUAACCACAGUGUCCUUUGCCUUACAGAAGCUUUGCAGUUUUAUGAGAUCCCAUUUGUCGAUUCUUGAUCUUAGAGCAUAAGCCAUUGGUGUUUUGUUCAGGAAAUUUUUUCCAGUGCCCAUGUGUUCCAGAUG